UACGGGGGGGGCAAGCGUUGUCCGGAAUUAUUGGGCGUAAAGAGCGUGUAGGCGGCUAGGUAGGUGGGUCGUGAAAACUGGAGGCUCAACCUUCAGACGUCGACCCAAACCCCCUGGCUAGAGUCCGGAAGAGGAGAGUGGAAUUCCUGGUGUAGCGGUGAAAUGCGCAGAUAUCAGGAAGAACACCCGUGGCGAAGGCGGCUCUCUGGGACGGUACUGACGCUGAGACGCGAAAGCGUGGGGAGCGAACAGG
Molecule: ribosomal RNA, 253 nt
Filed under: uncultured bacterium
Lineage: Bacteria
Description: partial 16S ribosomal RNA
Rfam family: Bacterial small subunit ribosomal RNA
Source: RNAcentral